Molecule: long non-coding RNA, 2931 nt
Filed under: Prunus persica (peach)
Lineage: Eukaryota; Viridiplantae; Streptophyta; Magnoliopsida; Rosales; Rosaceae
Description: long non-coding RNA (PPER_LNC006682)
Source: RNAcentral
ACAUCUCCACUGCUGCUGCCAUAGUCCUGCAGCAAACAGCAUGGGCCUUUGCUGAAGGGAAAUUCAACAAAGGGGAUGCUGUCAUUAUGUUUAGCUGCACUUACGGUGCGGUGAAGAACUCAAUCGAGGCCUACUUUUCACGUGCUGGUGGGUCCGUUAUCGAAGUUCCAUUUAACUUUCCAUUGAAUUCCAAUGAAGAAAUCAUAAGUGAAUUUAGGAAAGCAUUGGAGAGAGAAAAGGGUAAUGGUAGGAGAGUGAGAUUGGCUGUGAUUGAUCAUGUUACAUGUGUGCCAACUGUUGUAAUGCCAGUUAAGCAAUUGGUUAAAAUCUGUAGGGAUGAAGGUGUUGAACAAGUGUUCAUAGAUGCAGCUCAUGCUGUUGGGAGCGUAGAUGUUGAUAUGCAAGAAAUUGGGGCAGAUUUUUAUGCUAGUACUUUGUAUAAGUGGUUCUUCUGCCCGCCUGUUGUUUCAUUUCUGUAUUGUAGGAAAUCAGCUACACAUUCAGAUUUGGAAUUGCAUCACCCUAUUGUGUCUCAUAGGUAUGGUAAGGGGUUGGCUGAAGAAAGUUUUUGGGUUGGGACAAGGGAUUAUAGUCCAUAUCUGGUGCUUCCUUCAGUUAUGGAGUUCGUUAACAGGUUCGAAGGCGGUCUUAAGGGAAUCAUAAAAAGGAAUCAUGAUGCUGUUGUUGAGAUGGGGAAGAUGUUGGCAGAAGCUUGGGGAACCAAUCUAGGGUGUCCUCCUGAUAUGUGCGCUAGCAUGAUCAUGGUAGGGUUACCGGCUUGUUUGGGGAUUUCAAGUGAUGAUGAUGCUACGAAGUUAAGGCCACAUUUAUGUGAUAAAUUUGGUGUUGAAGUCAGAAUACAUUAUCAAGCUCCCAAAGAUGGAGAGGUUGGAUCAACGACGGGGUAUGUUCGAAUUUGUCAUCAGAUUUACAACAAAGUUGAUGACUAUUACAAGCUCAGAGAUGCAGUUAAUCAACUAGUUCGUGAUGGAUUCACUUGCGCUCUUGAGGUAUGUAUAUGCUCUGCCUUCAUCCAGUUUAUUGGUUUGUAAGCUAGACAUACUAUACACUGCAACUUGCUAAAUUUGGUUUGCUUACUUGUUAUUGACAUGGGAUUUUACGUUAAUCUGUAGAUCAAUGAGGCCUGAACUCCGUUCGAUGAAAAAAAGAAGCUAUAUGGUCCUAUAUCCUGCAUGCUUUGCUAGUUGUGCAAUGGAUUUUGUACCAUUAACUUCUGAAGUGCUCCUGAGCAAACAAGUAUAUAUAUAGAGAAGUUCAUGAAUUUUCAGUUUGAUAUGCAGAAAAGUUCAUGUAUGAAUACAUUAACAAUUAUCUGUCGGUUUGGUUGUGAUUCGCAGAGAUUAGGACUCGAUUUGAACACAGCACCUCAUGCAAUCAGUUUGACAAUAAGUGAAACACAAUGUGUGCUUGAACAACAAGACUUACCUGAAAGCACUUGCACUCCUUUGCAGUUUUAUAAUAAGCAAUUGUAACUGAUGCAUUCCUUAAAAGCCCUUCAAUUAUUUACUCUUCAUCUUUCUAAUAUAAUGUGUUAAACUGUCUCUUUGAGCUCAGUGAUUUAAUCCCAGAACUUUUAAGUUACCGUGCCCACUUGAACUAUAUGAGUGUUACUACAAAUGGUAUCAGUUCAGCCAUAAGCUGCAUUUGUUAAUAAGCUGAUAUAUUUACUAAAGUGAUGUUUUUCUUGCCACAAAGGCAAACCUAAAUCCAUGGUUCUCUAGCGUUCCAUUUUCCAUGCAUAAUUUCCAGCACAUCACAUGUAGAUAGCCAGAUUCAAAAGCAUGAAAAUAUGGAAGUUGACUUUAGAUUAAUACACCAAACUUUAUAAGAUUGUCUUUUGGUGACCCAAAUCUUAAAAUCAACGUCAUAAUCCUUUAUUUUUCUCCCUAAUCAAUUUAAACCUCCCUAAUGUCAUAUAUAAAACAAGUGAUUUUGGUCGUAGCUCUCUUGUCUUUUGUAGUCAAGACAAGCAUUGAGACAUAUCAAGAGUCCGCAAGAAUAUUACAAAUUAAUAAGUUGAACAAUGACUAUGAAUGAGAGAUCAUUAACGCCCAAUUUCAACAAACGCUUAAGGUACUUAAAAUCAUCAUGUUCAAUUAAUUCUUGCCUCGACAAUACAAUCGGCGCUGAUCCUCAUUAAUUUGCUAAUGUCUUUGUUGUGUAUGGUUCUGGUUUGAGUGAGCAGGUCAUGGCUAAAAAGAUUAUUAUGUUUUGCCGCCACUAUGUUCCACCUAUUCUUCUCCUUCCUUAUCAAACCUUCCAAUUCCUCUACCCCAAGCUUUCAUUUCAAGUCUCAAGGGCCUCUAACCACCAUUUCCACAACCUCAAAGCUGAUGAAAUCCAAACCCAUGUUCCCAUUGAGACAAAACUCUCUUCUUCCUUCAUCACAGACUCCGAAAUCCAAUCUGAAUUUGCUCACCAUGCUCCUGGUGUUGCCAGGAUGAACAAUGGCAGCUUUGGUUGCUGCCCUGCUUCUAUCAUCUCUGACUUACAUCAAUGGCAGCUCAAAUUGCUCCGCCAGCCGGACCAUUUCUACCUGAAUGAGCUCCAGAACAGGAUACUCGAAUCAAGAACCGUAGUUAAAGACCUUAUCAAUGCAGAAGAUGUGGAUGAAGUCUCCAUUGUAGACAAUGUCUCCACUGCUGUAGCCAUAGUCCUGCAGCAGACGGCAUGGGCCUUUGCUGAAAGGAAAUUCAACCAAGGGGAUGCUCUCAUUAUGUUUCACUGUGCUUAUGGAGCGGUGAAGAACUCAAUCAAGGCCUACUUUCUGCGUGCUGGUGGGUACGUUAUCGAAGUUCCAUUUAAAUUUCCGCUGAAUUCCAAUGAAGAAAUCAUAAGUGAAUUUAGGAAAGCAUUGGAGAGAGAAAAGGGUAAUGGUAGGAGAGUGAGAUUAGCUGUGAUUGAUCAUGU